RNAcentral lists this ribosomal RNA (429 nucleotides) under bacterium. RNAcentral's name for it is "partial 16S ribosomal RNA". It matches the Rfam family "Bacterial small subunit ribosomal RNA", at positions 355 to 776 of the family's 1533-position model. The record is from RNAcentral.
UAGGGAAUCUUCGGCAAUGGGGGCAACCCUGACCGAGCAACGCAGCGUGAGUGAAGAAGGUUUUCGGAUCGUAAAGCUCUGUUGUAAGAGAAGAACGUGUGUGAGAGUGGAAAGUUCACACAGUGACGGUAACUUACCAGAAAGGGACGGCUAACUACGUGCCAGCAGCCGCGGUAAUACGUAGGUCCCGAGCGUUGUCCGGAUUUAUUGGGCGUAAAGCGAGCGCAGGCGGUUUAAUAAGUCUGAAGUUAAAGGCAGUGGCUUAACCAUUGUUCGCUUUGGAAACUGUUAAACUUGAGUGCAGAAGGGGAGAGUGGAAUUCCAUGUGUAGCGGUGAAAUGCGUAGAUAUAUGGAGGAACACCGGUGGCGAAAGCGGCUCUCUGGUCUGUAACUGACGCUGAGGCUCGAAAGCGUGGGGAGCAAACAGG